AUAAUGAUACUUCUGUUCGUGGCCGGCGACGAAAUAGGCGGUGGUGAGAUUCCAAUGA
Molecule: regulatory RNA element, 58 nt
Organism: Ruminococcus sp. CAG:563
Lineage: Bacteria; Bacillati; Bacillota; Clostridia; Eubacteriales; Oscillospiraceae
Rfam family: pemK RNA
Source: Rfam